UACGAGGGGGGCUAGCGUUGUUCGGAAUUACUGGGCGUAAAGCGCACGUAGGCGGGUUGUUAAGUCAGGGGUGAAAUCCUGGAGCUCAACUCCAGAACUGCCUUUGAUACUGGCAACCUAGAGACUGGAAGAGGUUAGUGGAAUUCCCAGUGUAGAGGUGAAAUUCGUAGAUAUUGGGAAGAACACCAGUGGCGAAGGCGGCUAACUGGUCCAGCACUGACGCUGAGGUGCGAAAGCGUGGGGAGCAAACAGG
RNAcentral lists this ribosomal RNA (253 nucleotides) under uncultured bacterium. RNAcentral's name for it is "partial 16S ribosomal RNA". It matches the Rfam family "Bacterial small subunit ribosomal RNA", at positions 524 to 776 of the family's 1533-position model. The record is from RNAcentral.